RNAcentral lists this long non-coding RNA (908 nucleotides) under Bemisia tabaci. RNAcentral's name for it is "lncRNA ENSSSA1NGG003702". The record is from RNAcentral. Lineage: Eukaryota; Metazoa; Arthropoda; Insecta; Hemiptera; Aleyrodidae.
CUGACAUCUAAACAGCGCCUCCAGUUUUACCUUUCGAACACUCCGGAGCCAAUGCAUGAACCGAAGCGGAAGCAACGACGUAAAGACGACACGUCGACCCAGCGGCACACGGUACCUGCAAAUGCUGCCCCUGCAGAAAACAUUGAUAUCGCUGAACCCGAAUUAGAAGUACCGGCCGACCUACUCCUACAACCUGACCCAUUGCCAGAGGUUCUUCCUUUGCAACCACCGCUAAAUGAGGAACAGGCUGUACCCGUAGUCGAUUCACCUGCCGCCAACCCUCCAAACGAACACGUACCUGGACAGAUGCCCCGCUCCACCCGAUUUUGGAGUUCCGGAAGGAUGGGUGCGGGGCUGGCGACACUUCUUCAGCUGACAACGAUGGUGGCGCCAAUUUCAUUGACCCGGCUUUUUGUGGAUCAUGGCUAUACAGCGGACUACGUCGCAGUGGGCAAUAUUCACACCCUCGAUAACCCGACGGAGUUGGUCCUCCUUAACUCAGCCAAGGAGAAUCUGCUCUACCCAAGCUACGGCUCACCUCCGAUGGCUCUAGCUUUACAGGUGAUCAGUGACUUGGGCGGAGUCCAAGAUUCCCUUUGGCGGGAGAAAAUCCGAAAAAGGGUCCAUUCCCAAUUAUAUCGCCGCCUUGGAAAGUGCCGAAGCAAGAGGACGUUGUGUGUCCGAGUAGACCAAAGAAUUCUAUCGAAUUUCACGGAUUAUGGGGUGAGUUUGGGCUCAACUGCAAUUGCUCUCCUUCUUGGAAUCAUAGAGGCAAUUAACCGGUGCACCGCCACGAAAGCAUCGAUCCACAUAUUUCUACAUUAGGCAGGUUGGAGAGGGCUAAACGCCUGAAUGGAGGCAUCGUUGCAUUGACCGCGGUGCAGGAGGAAUGCAUGCAGCUUUUGGAG